CUUAAAAUGCGAAAGCUUCUUGCUUUGCCUGAUGAUGAAAUCCCUAGAUCACUCCUCGAUAUCGAUAUGUAUGUUGCAUAUUACAUUUCCUGUAACCAUAACAUAUGGACCCUCUCUCUCUCUCUCUCAUGUAUGCACCUCCUAUAUGAAUUUAAGCUUUGGAAUAGAGCUGAUCUUUUACCAUUUAGAAAAUAACUCUUCCAUUGCUUUCAUUAAUGUUUUGGAAUUGAACAAGAGGUCUCAACUUUGAUAAUUUUGCUGCUUGGCAAAAUCAGUCUUUUGUUAAAUGGAAUAACCUAGAUUUCUGUAGUGAAAUUAACUGGACUGAAAGACCAUGGACGAGGUAGCUAGAAUAGUGCUUCAGGGGAGAGCCAAACACGAGUCAGGAUUCAGGACCACUGACUUAUCCAACAAGAUUUUAAUUAAGCAUUUCUUGAUAUUACUUCUUCCCUUGCAUAUUCAAUAAGACUUUAUUUUGUUGCUGUGGUUUAUCCUUUUAAUAUGCCUGAGUGGGGCGUUAGCUUUUUCUACCUCAAGCAUUUGUUGUUUUAAAACCUUGAAUUUCUGAUACUAUUUAUUAUUUUUUGGUUAAUCAUGCAUUUACAUAUCAUGGCCAUGUCCGCAUCUGCAAAAUUUAGUUCCAGAGUUUUUGACCCUUGGAUUCAAAUAUUUACUGUGAUUAUUUUGGACUUUUUCAGGCUGCGGAUCAGGACUUUGUGGGGAGGCAUUAACUGAAAAUGGUCAUCGAUGCAAGAUUUAUUGUUAUUACGAUGGAAUAUGCAAUCAAACUUGCAAGCUUAUUUUCCAUGGGAUUCAAUUUAUAUUUAUCAAUGGAAUGAUUAUCUUUUGUUGCAGGGCAUACCACUUCGACACCUGGAGUUAUUGAUGGUGCCAUCAGUAUUUCAGCUGUUCAGGGCAUUCUUUGGAUCAUUAUAUAGAUGUUUGGCAAGAGGAGCGAGAGCAGUGUUUCAAGUGUAUCCUGAAAACAUAGCCCAGCGUGAAUUAAUUUUGAGACCUGCAAUGCAUGCUGGAUUUGCUGGUGGUGUGGUUAUUGAUUACCCACACAGGUUUUCGCUUGGCUUUGAUCGUUCCAGCCCUUUCCAACCCUGUAGCCUGAAUGUUCGGGUUGGGAUUAAAAGCAUAUAUCCAUAGAAGGUAUGCAUUCCAGACAAGAACAGACCUAAGAAAAAACGGAAAAUAACCAGGAAAGGGUAGUACAGAGAAUGGAUAUUUAAAAAGAAAGAGCAACUGAGAAUAAAAGGAAACGUUGUGCCUCCUGACACCAGAUACACUGGUCGAAAACGAAAGGAUCGAUUUUGAUCCUUACAUUACAUGUGAAGCCAUCCUAUAGGAAAACUAUACAUAUAAAUCAUCAUGUAUGCUGACCUUCAUGCAUUUCCUUGCUCGUUCCUGCUGCUGCUCGGUGAAUCCAUGCUGAAGAUCAAUCACAUCGUGUAGAUAGCCAGCAUAGAAUACUUGAUCAGAUGACCAAGGCAGAGAAACGAACCCCCCCGCCGUGUUUUGUUACUUUACGCCAAGAUGAAAAACAAACAAACACAAACCGGAGAAGUACGCAAGCCAUACACUGCAAAUGUUGUUGAUCACACAAAUGGGGACACAGUUUGGUUCGUGAACCUUACUGCGUCGAUGAAAAGGCCGAAUGGAGAACUUUUGGCAAUGAUGAUGAGACUGAUGAACAUGAUCCCAACCGCGGUGUUUCUCUCUCAAACCCUCUUUUAACUCAUACCACACUAACAGCUACAAUCUCCAAGCCUGCCAAAGGGUAUUGAUGCUGCUGCUACUGUUGUCGCAUUUUCCAAGAACUGGUUCGAAACCAUUCAAUCAAUAGCUAGUAAUUUAAUGUAUC
This is a long non-coding RNA of Populus euphratica (Euphrates poplar), 1867 nucleotides long. RefSeq lists it as uncharacterized. The transcript has 5 exons. NCBI's taxonomy places the organism in Eukaryota, Viridiplantae, Streptophyta, Magnoliopsida, Malpighiales, Salicaceae. The record is from RefSeq and is a predicted model, not a curated record.